RNAcentral lists this ribosomal RNA (618 nucleotides) under Salmonella enterica. RNAcentral describes it as "bacterial SSU rRNA". Lineage: Bacteria; Pseudomonadati; Pseudomonadota; Gammaproteobacteria; Enterobacterales; Enterobacteriaceae. The record is from RNAcentral.
UGGGGAGCAAACAGGAUUAGAUACCCUGGUAGUCCACGCCGUAAACGAUGUCUACUUGGAGGUUGUGCCCUUGAGGCGUGGCUUCCGGAGCUAACGCGUUAAGUAGACCGCCUGGGGAGUACGGCCGCAAGGUUAAAACUCAAAUGAAUUGACGGGGGCCCGCACAAGCGGUGGAGCAUGUGGUUUAAUUCGAUGCAACGCGAAGAACCUUACCUGGUCUUGACAUCCACRGAASUUUYCAGAGAUGGAUUGGUGCCUUCGGGAACYGUGAGACAGGUGCUGCAUGGCUGUCGUCAGCUCGUGUUGUGAAAUGUUGGGUUAAGUCCCGCAACGAGCGCAACCCUUAUCCUUUGUUGCCAGCGGUYMGGCCGGGAACUCAAAGGAGACUGCCAGUGAUAAACUGGAGGAAGGUGGGGAUGACGUCAAGUCAUCAUGGCCCUUACGACCAGGGCUACACACGUGCUACAAUGGCGCAUACAAAGAGAAGCGACCUCGCGAGAGCAAGCGGACCUCAUAAAGUGCGUCGUAGUCCGGAUUGGAGUCUGCAACUCGACUCCAUGAAGUCGGAAUCGCUAGUAAUCGUGGAUCAGAAUGCCACGGUGAAUACGUUCCCGGGCC